Molecule: ribosomal RNA, 1013 nt
Filed under: Talaromyces helicus
Lineage: Eukaryota; Fungi; Ascomycota; Eurotiomycetes; Eurotiales; Trichocomaceae
Description: SSU rRNA
Rfam family: Eukaryotic small subunit ribosomal RNA
Source: RNAcentral
AACUGCGAAUGGCUCAUUAAAUCAGUUAUCGUUUAUUUGAUAGUACCCUACUACAUGGAUACCUGUGGUAAUUCUAGAGCUAAUACAUGCGCAAAACCCCGACUUCGGAAGGGGUGUAUUUAUUAGAUAAAAAACCAAUGCCCUUCGGGGCUCCUUGGUGAUUCAUAAUAACUUCACGAAUCGCAUGGCCUUGCGCCGGCGAUGGUUCAUUCAAAUUUCUGCCCUAUCAACUUUCGAUGGUAGGAUAGUGGCCUACCAUGGUGGCAACGGGUAACGGGGAAUUAGGGUUCGAUUCCGGAGAGGGAGCCUGAGAAACGGCUACCACAUCCAAGGAAGGCAGCAGGCGCGCAAAUUACCCAAUCCCGAUACGGGGAGGUAGUGACAAUAAAUACUGAUACAGGGCUCUUUUGGGUCUUGUAAUUGGAAUGAGAACAAUCUAAACACCUUAACGAGGAACAAUUGGAGGGCAAGUCUGGUGCCAGCAGCCGCGGUAAUUCCAGCUCCAAUAGCGUAUAUUAAAGUUGUUGCAGUUAAAAAGCUCGUAGUUGAACCUUGGGCCCGUCCUGCCGGUCCGCCUCACCGCGAGUACUGGUCCGGAUGGGCCUUUCUUUCUGGGGAAUCCCAUGGCCUUCACUGGCUGUGGUGGGGAACCAGGACUUUUACUGUGAAAAAAUUAGAGUGUUCAAAGCAGGCCUUUGCUCGGAUACAUUAGCAUGGAAUAAUAGAAUAGGACGUGCGGUUCUAUUUUGUUGGUUUCUAGGACCGCCGUAAUGAUUAAUAGGGAUAGUCGGGGGCGUCAGUAUUCAGCUGUCAGAGGUGAAAUUCUUGGAUUUGCUGAAGACUAACUACUGCGAAAGCAUUCGCCAAGGAUGUUUUCAUUAAUCAGGGAACGAAAGUUAGGGGAUCGAAGACGAUCAGAUACCGUCGUAGUCUUAACCAUAAACUAUGCCGACUAGGGAUCGGGCGGGGUUUCUAUGAUGACCCGCUCGGCACCUUACGAGAAAUCAAAGUUU